UGGGGAAUAUUGCACAAUGGGCGCAAGCCUGAUGCAGCCAUGCCGCGUGUGUGAAGAAGGCCUUCGGGUUGUAAAGCACUUUCAGCGAGGAGGAAGGCGUUAAGGUUAAUAACCUUAGCGAUUGACGUUACUCGCAGAAGAAGCACCGGCUAACUCCGUGCCAGCAGCCGCGGUAAUACGGAGGGUGCAAGCGUUAAUCGGAAUUACUGGGCGUAAAGCGCACGCAGGCGGUUUGUUAAGUCAGAUGUGAAAUCCCCGAGCUUAACUUGGGAACUGCAUUUGAAACUGGCAAGCUAGAGUCUUGUAGAGGGGGGUAGAAUUCCAGGUGUAGCGGUGAAAUGCGUAGAGAUCUGGAGGAAUACCGGUGGCGAAGGCGGCCCCCUGGACAAAGACUGACGCUCAGGUGCGAAAGCGUGGGGCA
Molecule: ribosomal RNA, 421 nt
Filed under: uncultured bacterium
Lineage: Bacteria
Description: partial 16S ribosomal RNA
Rfam family: Bacterial small subunit ribosomal RNA
Source: RNAcentral